UCCCAGGUGGCUCAGUGGUAAAGAAUCUGCCUGCCAAUGCAGGAGACAUGGGUUCAAUCCCUGUGUUGGGAA
Non-coding RNA from Bos taurus (domestic cattle), 72 nucleotides. Lineage: Eukaryota; Metazoa; Chordata; Mammalia; Artiodactyla; Bovidae. The record is from Rfam.